GAUGAACGCUGGCGGCAUGCCUAAUACAUGCAAGUCGAACGAGAGGAAGGAAAGCUUGCUUUCCUGAAUCUAGUGGCGAACGGGUGAGUAACACGUAGGUAACCUGCCCAUGUGCCCGGGAUAACUUCUGGAAACGGAUGCUAAAACCGGAUAGGUAGCAGACAAGCAUUUGACUGCUAUUAAAGUGGCCUUGGCCAUGAACAUGGAUGGACCUGCGGUGCAUUAGCUGGUUGGUGAGGUAACGGCCCACCAAGGCGACGAUGCAUAGUCGGCCUGAGCGGUCGGACGGGCACAUUGGGACUGCGACACGGCACAAAAUCCGACGGGAGGCACCAGUAGCGAAUUUUCGUCACAGGGGGGAACCCUUACCGAGCAAUGCCGCGUGAGUGAGGAAGGUCUUCGGAUAGUAAAGCUCUGUUGUAAGAGAAAAACGGCACUCAUAGGGAAUGAUAGGUGAGUGAUGGUAUCUUACCAGAAAGUCACGGCUAACUACGUGCCAGCCGCCGCCGUAA
This 512-nucleotide ribosomal RNA is filed under the name uncultured bacterium. RNAcentral's name for it is "partial 16S ribosomal RNA". It matches the Rfam family "Bacterial small subunit ribosomal RNA", at positions 28 to 523 of the family's 1533-position model. The record is from RNAcentral.